RNAcentral lists this ribosomal RNA (407 nucleotides) under uncultured bacterium. RNAcentral describes it as "bacterial SSU rRNA". It matches the Rfam family "Bacterial small subunit ribosomal RNA", at positions 355 to 776 of the family's 1533-position model. The record is from RNAcentral.
UGGGGAAUAUUGGGCAAUGGAGGAAACUCUGACCCAGCAAUGCCGCGUGAAUGAAGAAGGUCUUCGGAUUGUAAACUUUUGUCCUAUGGGAAGAAGAAAGUGACGGUACCAUAGGAGGAAGCCACGGCUAACUACGUGCCAGCAGCCGCGGUAAUACGUAGGUGGCGAGCGUUGUCCGGAUUUACUGGGUGUAAAGGGCGCGUAGGCGGGCGCUUAAGUCAGAUGUGAAAUACCGGAGCUCAACUCCGGGGCUGCAUUUGAAACUGGGCGUCUUGAGUGCGGGAGAGGUAAGUGGAAUUCCUAGUGUAGCGGUGAAAUGCGUAGAUAUUAGGAGGAACACCAGUGGCGAAGGCGACUUACUGGACCGUAACUGACGCUGAGGCGCGAAAGCGUGGGGAGCAAACAGG